Molecule: ribosomal RNA, 459 nt
Filed under: uncultured bacterium
Lineage: Bacteria
Description: partial 16S ribosomal RNA
Rfam family: Bacterial small subunit ribosomal RNA
Source: RNAcentral
CCUACGGGUGGCUGCAGUGAGGAAUAUUGGUCAAUGGCCGUAAGGCUGAACCAGCCAAGUCGCGUGAAGGAAGAAGGAUCUAUGGUUUGUAAACUUCUUUUAUAGGGGAAUAAAGGUAUCCACGUGUGGAUAUUUGCAUGUACCCUAUGAAUAAGCAUCGGCUAACUCCGUGCCAGCAGCCGCGGUAAUACGGAGGAUGCGAGCGUUAUCCGGAUUUAUUGGGUUUAAAGGGUGCGUAGGCGGUCCGUUAAGUCAGCGGUAAAAUUGCGGGGCUCAACCCCGUCGAGCCGUUGAAACUGGCAGACUUGAGUUGGCGAGAAGUACGCGGAAUGCGCGGUGUAGCGGUGAAAUGCAUAGAUAUCGCGCAGAACUCCGAUUGCGAAGGCAGCGUACCGGCGCCAGACUGACGCUGAGGCACGAAAGCGUGGGGAUCGAACAGGAUUAGAUACCCCUGUAGUC